Molecule: ribosomal RNA, 318 nt
Filed under: Triticum aestivum (bread wheat)
Lineage: Eukaryota; Viridiplantae; Streptophyta; Magnoliopsida; Poales; Poaceae
Description: partial small subunit ribosomal RNA
Source: RNAcentral
AUGCCUACUCCUGUUAUGGAAUACUUUCAGGUUGUGUGCGGCCGGCGUAAGCGGGCGUUGAUGCGGUCGUACUGGUCGGGUCGGAAAAGAGUAUGCGGGAUGCAACCUCCCUUUCCAAAGGAUUAUAUUCAUUUGCUUAAGGCCACUUCUAGGGGCCGUUCGUACUAUUGCGGCCCGGAUUUGUGUUGCCAGAGGUGCGGGGCUUUAUUUUGGUUUCGUGAAGGAUCUGUACACCAUGCUGAAGCAACUUCUCACUCUCCUAUUUACACGGGAUGUUGUUGGGCGGGCAUGAUUUCGCUGCCGAAGUUUGGUGACUAG